AUGGCCCUUUGCAGCGAGCUCGCCGACAUUAAGAAGCCGAACUCCUCCACCACGACCUACUUCAACAAGAUGAAGGUGUUGGCGGACACACUCACCUCUAUUGGUCGACCGCUCAGCGAUGAGGAGUUUGCUGGCUUUGUCAUCAAAGGCCUCGACGCCGACUACAACAAUCUUGCCGAGGUUGUUCACAAUGCCAAGCCAGCGAUGCCCCCGCACGAGCUCUACUCAUGA
Molecule: ribosomal RNA, 231 nt
Filed under: Triticum aestivum (bread wheat)
Lineage: Eukaryota; Viridiplantae; Streptophyta; Magnoliopsida; Poales; Poaceae
Description: partial small subunit ribosomal RNA
Source: RNAcentral